CGCUGGCGUUGACGACGAUGGCGACGUCCUUGUGGUUCUUGGCGGCAGAGCGGACCAUGGUCGGGCCGCCGAUAUCGAUAUUCUCGAUCGCCAGCGGC
RNAcentral lists this transfer RNA (98 nucleotides) under Marinobacterium nitratireducens. Its description in RNAcentral is "tRNA-Lys". Lineage: Bacteria; Pseudomonadati; Pseudomonadota; Gammaproteobacteria; Oceanospirillales; Oceanospirillaceae. The record is from RNAcentral.